AGAAUUGAUCUGGUUCAGGAUGAACGCUAGCGACAGGCUUAACACAUGCAAGUCGAGGGGCAGCAUAAAAGUAGCAAUACGUUGGUGGCGACCGGCGCACGGGUGAGUAACGCGUAUGCAACCUACCUAUCAGAGGGGAAUAACCCGGCGAAAGUCGGACUAAUACCGCAUAAAACAGGGGCACCGCAUGGUGAUAUUUGUUAAAGAGAUUCGCUGAUAGAUGGGCAUGCGUUCCAUUAGGUAGUUGGUGAGGUAACGGCUCACCAAGCCGACGAUGGAUAGGGGAACUGAGAGGUUGGUCCCCCACACUGGUACUGAGACACGGACCAGACUCCUACGGGAGGCAGCAGUGAGGAAUAUUGGUCAAUGGGCGGGAGCCUGAACCAGCCAAGUCGCGUUGAAGGAAGAAGGAUCUAUGGUUCGUAAACUUCUUUUGCAGGGGAAUAAAGUGCAGGACGUGUCCUGUUUUGUAUGUACCCUGAGAAUAAGGAUCGGCUAACUCCGUGCCAGCAGCUGC
Molecule: ribosomal RNA, 517 nt
Filed under: uncultured bacterium
Lineage: Bacteria
Description: bacterial SSU rRNA
Rfam family: Bacterial small subunit ribosomal RNA
Source: RNAcentral